AUAGACAGAUAGACAGAUAGACAGACAGACAGACAGACAGACAGAUAGACACAGACAGACAGACAACUACUCUGAAUGAAAUGAGUAAUUUACCAAGAGCUGCCAGUAACACUAAUAUUCAUCUAUGGAAAAUAUCGUCGACCUUUCCACGAUGAUAUGUUACAGAACACUGAACUGGUGAAGACAAUGCCAUUCUCGACGCUGUUGUUGGCUGUGCUGCUCCCCGUCCUGGGCUCCGAGCUGGUGGUGUCGGUGGUGGAGGAGAGGACAGUAAGAGGAGGUUGGCAGGAGGUCAAUCGGCCUCGUGUUGACCUCAGCGAGUCGGCCAACGUGACAGGUCUGCUGGGCAAGACGGCCGUGUUGAACUGUCGUGUACGGAACAUUGGUAACAGG
Homarus americanus (American lobster) is the source of this 393-nucleotide long non-coding RNA. RefSeq lists it as uncharacterized. The transcript has 3 exons. The record is from RefSeq and is a predicted model, not a curated record. NCBI's taxonomy places the organism in Eukaryota, Metazoa, Arthropoda, Malacostraca, Decapoda, Nephropidae.